RNAcentral lists this long non-coding RNA (1405 nucleotides) under Capra hircus (goat). RNAcentral's name for it is "lncRNA (ENSCHIG00010003774.1)". The record is from RNAcentral. Lineage: Eukaryota; Metazoa; Chordata; Mammalia; Artiodactyla; Bovidae.
AUGGGCACAGCACGGGAAGUGUUAAAAAAAAAAAAAAAGGAAACAAACAGUUCCUUCACAAGGCUGGGACAGGGGAGAGCACCCACAGUGGGGCAGGUGCCUUGGUUUCUUUUUCCAGUCUUUUUCCACCGCUUUUUCCUACUGAGUUUUGGCCAUGAACUCGGGACAGGUAUGGUUAAUAAACAGGUUAGGGGGAAGAGAAGGGGCAGAGAAGGCCUGGGGGAGGGAAGGACAAAUUCCCCCCACCCCAGGCUGGGUUCUUGGAGGAUCUGUACAGGAGAAAGGACAUGGUGGGAGGCAGGGGAUGGGGGGUGGACACAGUCUUCAGGGGGCUCUCUGGAGCCACACUGCCUACGAAAAAUAUUUACAUGCAUUCACCACGCUGGCAGGAGAAGGAAUUCAGGAGCGUCAAGGAGGUGGUGGCCCCUUCUGCCCUGUGACGCAGAGGUGUGUCUGCUCCCUGUGCCCAGGGGCCCAGCCUGGAGGCCUGGACAGAUGGCUUUGCCAACCCCAGGUGGGUCUGGCCUGAGCACCCCAAGCCACUGCCCACCGACCUGCCCGGCCUGGGCCCCAGUGAUCACCCGUCUGCUUCGUAUCGAGGGGACCAACCCUUCCGGGGAGGUACCCCUCUCACCCCCUAGGGAGAUAAGAGCCUGGGCUCUAGAAGUCACAGUUGGGGGUGGGGUUGACCCCGGCCCGCCUUGUCCUCUCUGGCAGCUGAGGCCCCAGAGAGGCUGUCAAGCACACAAGCCCCUCUUCCUUUGGAAUCGGCUGUGUUUUCUGGAAACACUAGGCCCCUGCAGGACACCUCCCCAGGAGCACCAGGGUGCCUGGGGACAUAUUCGGGCAGGCCCUGCACGCAUCACACCCUGUGUCCAGGCAGGGUGAGGCCUGCACUCACAACCAGCUCAUCCUUUUCAUGGCCUGCUCUUGGAUUGCCGUGCUGGACUUGGACUGUUUUUAAACUUCAUGAAGAUAAAGCCUGGACAUUUGUCUCAGGGCCAGGGCUCAAUGAAUGAAGCCCUCAGUCUCUUCUCUCCAACGCUAAGGAUGCAGAAAGAGGCAUCGGGUGUCGGGUGGCAAAGCCCUAGGCCCCAGGUUAGAGGCUGGCCCACAGGAGGUGAGAAGUCAGGCCUGCUGGGGUCAGGCUGGACCCAUGCAGCCCCUCCGAGCCCACUCCAGUCAACCCAGGCCCUGUUCAGCCGUCCUGUGCUGGACCCUGCCCCCACCCCCCAGGGGCUGUGCAGAGGCCAUGCCCACUGCUGGGCCUCCAAUCCUGGUCCCACCAUCCCUGGAUGGUCCAGGUCCUCUCUCCUCCAUGCUCCCUGGCUUUCCAGCCUUGGCCUGCCCAGGGGCCUUCUCACCAGAGCUGCUGCCCUAAGACAGCAGCCUGCCAAGGGGCAGA